Molecule: ribosomal RNA, 168 nt
Filed under: uncultured Ochrobactrum sp.
Lineage: Bacteria; Pseudomonadati; Pseudomonadota; Alphaproteobacteria; Hyphomicrobiales; Brucellaceae
Description: partial 16S ribosomal RNA
Rfam family: Bacterial small subunit ribosomal RNA
Source: RNAcentral
UCCUACGGGAGGCAGCAGUGGGGAAUAUUGGACAAUGGGCGCAAGCCUGAUCCAGCCAUGCCGCGUGAGUGAUGAAGGCCCUAGGGUUGUAAAGCUCUUUCACCGGUGAAGAUAAUGACGGUAACCGGAGAAGAAGCCCCGGCUAACUUCGUGCCAGCAGCCGCGGUA